CAGCAGCCGCGGUAAUACCGGCGGCCCGAGUGGCGGCCACUAUUAUUGGGCUUAAAGCGUCCGUAGCCGGGUUGGUUAGUCUCCCGGGAAAUCUGGCCGCUUAACGGUCAGAAUUCCGGGAGAUACUGCCAGCCUAGGGACCGGGAGAGGCCGAGGGUAUUCCCGGAGUAGGGGUGAAAUCCUAUAAUCCCGGGAGGACCACCUGUGGCGAAGGCGCUCGGCUGGAACGGGUCCGACGGUGAGGGACGAAGGCCAGGGGAGCAAACCGGAUUAGAUACCCGGGUAGUCCUGGCUGUAAACGAUGCGGACGUUGUGUCGGACAAGCUAUGAGCUGGUCCGGUGCCGGAGGGAAACCGUUAAGUCCGCCGCCUGGGGAGUACGGCCGCAAGGCUGAAACUUAAAGGAAUUGGCGGG
Molecule: ribosomal RNA, 414 nt
Filed under: uncultured microorganism
Description: bacterial SSU rRNA
Rfam family: Archaeal small subunit ribosomal RNA
Source: RNAcentral